Molecule: long non-coding RNA, 498 nt
Organism: Macrobrachium nipponense
Lineage: Eukaryota; Metazoa; Arthropoda; Malacostraca; Decapoda; Palaemonidae
Exons: 4
Source: RefSeq, a predicted model, not a curated record
GCCUCUUAGUUUUCGCUUAGGGAACAGCGAAGCGCCAGAGUGACUACGUUCUUCGAGGGAAUUUGUAUCGUGCUUGGUGAACUUACGAUCGCAUUUUUGUGGCUCGCAAGAAGGGCUACGUGAUGUCUCGGUGACCCUUGGAUGCUCUAUAAUAUCUAGGUUUCUUCACGGUUGAUCAGAACUCUGAUGGUUCAGAGAUUUUGUUGCAUGCGAAUCACUUGAAGAAAACUCUUGGGAAACAACGAAACCAAAAUUCUUAUGCCAGUGUUUGUCUCAAGUUACACAAAAAGGACUCCAUUAUCCAGAAUUACAGGCACAGCUAUUCAAGAUAAGGCAAACAAUACUUCUGCUAUUCAAGAAAUGUGCUCAAUGCUUUUACUCCACAAUAUAGUUCAGGAAGAGAUGAGAAUGGAGUAGUUAUGUUGAUAUACUCCUGCAUUCAAAGUUCAAGGCUGUAAUUAGAAAUCAAUGAACGGUAUUAAAUGAACAUAAAAAUAA